AAGAGGACAAGAAAAGAUGUGUUCCCAUCCCUGACAUUUUCUGGUCCAGCAAGGACAAGCUGAAAAGCUGAUUAACAAGGUGCUUUGCACACCUCUACAUGGAACACUCUCCCCCAUCUCUCCAUUGGGACAACUCUUACUCUUUCCUGAUGUUCAUCUUAAAUGUCACUGCCUCAGAAAAGCUUCACCUGUUCUUUCAACCUAAAAUGCAGACAACCAAAGAGGUUUGAGAAAAUCUGCUGAUGCCCACCCAGCAUCCGGUUAAGCAGACAAGGUAUAGUAAACAAACCAACAGGAACAGGAAGAGAGUAGCUAUCUCAGAAUAUAGAUAUAAAUCAAUAUCUUCACAAAGUCACUCGUCCUUUCAAAAGCUUCAAAGAAGAACUUCUUCUCAUCUAUUUUAUCUCAUUUGUGCCCUACUUAAUAGAUAUUGAUUUGAUAGGCACGUGCCAUUU
Prionailurus viverrinus (fishing cat) is the source of this 455-nucleotide long non-coding RNA. RefSeq lists it as uncharacterized. Lineage: Eukaryota; Metazoa; Chordata; Mammalia; Carnivora; Felidae. The transcript has 3 exons. The record is from RefSeq and is a predicted model, not a curated record.